GUGGAUUAGAUACCCCGGUAGUCCAUGCCGUAAACGAUGUCUACUAGCCGUUGGGGUCUUUGAGACCUUAGUGGCGCAGCUAACGCGAUAAGUAGACCGCCUGGGGAGUACGGUCGCAAGACUAAAACUCAAAUGAAUUGACGGGGGCCCGCACAAGCGGUGGAGCAUGUGGUUUAAUUCGAUGCAACGCGAAGAACCUUACCUGGCCUUGACAUACUAAGAACUUUCCAGAGAUGGAUUGGUGCCUUCGGGAACUUAGAUACAGGUGCUGCACGGCUGUCGACAACU
Molecule: ribosomal RNA, 288 nt
Filed under: uncultured bacterium
Lineage: Bacteria
Description: partial 16S ribosomal RNA
Rfam family: Bacterial small subunit ribosomal RNA
Source: RNAcentral